RNAcentral lists this ribosomal RNA (253 nucleotides) under uncultured bacterium. RNAcentral's name for it is "partial 16S ribosomal RNA". It matches the Rfam family "Bacterial small subunit ribosomal RNA", at positions 524 to 776 of the family's 1533-position model. The record is from RNAcentral.
UACAGAGGUCCCAAGCGUUGUUCGGAUUUACUGGGCGUAAAGGGCGCGUAGGCGGCUGUACAAGUCAAAGGUGAAAUCCCUCGGCUCAACUGAGGAACUGCCUUUGAAACUGUACGGCUUGAGGCCGGGAGGGGGUAGCGGAAUUCCCAAUGUAGCGGUGAAAUGCGUAGAUAUUGGGAGGAACACCAGUGGCGAAGGCGGCUACCUGGACCGGUUCUGACGCUGAGGCGCGAGAGCGUGGGUAGCAAACAGG